GUACACGCUGUGACUAGCAUAUCAAUAAGCGGAGGAAAAGAAACUAACAAGGAUUCCCCUAGUAACGGCGAGUGAAAGCGGGAAGAGCUCAAAUUUGAAGUCUUAAAGGGUUUCCCUUUACGAAUUGUAGUUUAAAGAAGUGUUUUCUGUUGAGGUUUUGGUAAAAGUUCUUUGGAAUAGGACAUCAUAGAGGGUGAGAAUCCCGUAUUUGACCUUUACUUUCAACUUUGUGAUACACUUUCAAAGAGUCGGAUUGUUUGGGAAUGCAGUCCAAAAUGGGUGGUAAAUUUCAUCUAAAGCUAAAUAUUGGCGAGAGACCGAUAGCGAACAAGUACCGUGAGGGAAAGAUGAAGAGAACUUUGAAAAGAGAGUUAAACAGUACGUGAAAUUGUCAAAAGGGAAGCGUUUGACACCAGUGUUGUUUUUCUGAAAAUCAAUUAAAGAACUGUUUAUGCUAAGCUGUUUAGACUUUAUCAGCUAUCUGUUUAGUUUUGAGCUUUUCUUUAAUGCACUUUUCAGUUAACAAGUCAACAUCAAUUUCUUUUGCCGUAAAAAAGCUUGAGGAAGGUGGCUUGAGAUUCGUCUUAAGUGUUUAUAGCCUCUUGCCUAUGCAGUCGGAGAGAUUGAGGUCUGCAGCGUAGAUCCUUCGGGGCUAAAUGCAUUUGUGCUAAGUUAUAGCAUUUUAUAGACAACUUGUUGACUAUGAUUUGUCUUGUAGCUUACUCGCUUAUGUUAUUUUACCUACGCUUAGGAUGUUGAUCUACAGAGCGAGAGU
This 775-nucleotide ribosomal RNA is filed under the name uncultured Neocallimastigales. RNAcentral's name for it is "partial large subunit ribosomal RNA". It matches the Rfam family "Eukaryotic large subunit ribosomal RNA", at positions 22 to 635 of the family's 3401-position model. The record is from RNAcentral. Lineage: Eukaryota; Fungi; Neocallimastigomycota; Neocallimastigomycetes; Neocallimastigales.